This 82-nucleotide transfer RNA is filed under the name Candidatus Bacteroides intestinipullorum. RNAcentral's name for it is "tRNA-Leu". It matches the Rfam family "tRNA". From Rfam's summary of the family: Transfer RNA (tRNA) molecules are approximately 80 nucleotides in length. Their secondary structure includes four short double-helical elements and three loops (D, anti-codon, and T loops). The record is from RNAcentral. Lineage: Bacteria; Pseudomonadati; Bacteroidota; Bacteroidia; Bacteroidales; Bacteroidaceae.
GCCCAAGUGGCGGAAUUGGUAGACGCGCACGUUUCAGGUGCGUGUGCCUCACGGCGUGCAGGUUCGAGUCCUGUUUUGGGCA